Molecule: ribosomal RNA, 301 nt
Filed under: uncultured bacterium
Lineage: Bacteria
Description: partial 16S ribosomal RNA
Rfam family: Bacterial small subunit ribosomal RNA
Source: RNAcentral
CAGCAGCCGCGGUAAUACGUAGGGUGCAAGCGUUAAUCGGAAUUACUGGGCGUAAAGCGUGCGCAGGCGGUUUGUUAAGACAGAUGUGAAAUCCCCGGGCUCAACCUGGGAACUGCAUUUGUGACUGGCAAGCUAGAGUGUGACAGAGGGGGGUGGAAUUCCGCGUGUAGCAGUGAAAUGCGUAGAUAUGCGGAGGAACACCGAUGGCGAAGGCAGCCCCCUGGGCCAACACUGACGCUCAUGCGCGAAAGCGUGGGGAGCAAGCAGGAUUAGAUACCCCGGUAGUCCCUGUCUCUUAUAC